UACGGGGGGGGCAAGCGUUGUUCGGAAUUACUGGGCGUAAAGGGCGCGUAGGCGGCCUGCUAAGUCGGACGUGAAAUCCCUCGGCUCAACCGGGGAACUGCGUCCGAUACUGGCGAGCUUGAAUCCGGGAGAGGGAUGUGGAAUUCCAGGUGUAGCGGUGAAAUACGUAGAUAUCUGGAGGAACACCGGUGGCGAAGGCGGCAUCCUGGACCGAUACUGACGCUGAGGAGCGAAAGCCAGGGGAGCAAACGGG
RNAcentral lists this ribosomal RNA (253 nucleotides) under uncultured bacterium. RNAcentral describes it as "partial 16S ribosomal RNA". It matches the Rfam family "Bacterial small subunit ribosomal RNA", at positions 524 to 776 of the family's 1533-position model. The record is from RNAcentral.